RNAcentral lists this ribosomal RNA (1459 nucleotides) under metagenome. RNAcentral describes it as "bacterial SSU rRNA". It matches the Rfam family "Bacterial small subunit ribosomal RNA". The record is from RNAcentral.
AGAGUUUGAUCCUGGCUCAGGAUGAACGCUAGCGGCAGGCCUAACACAUGCAAGUCGAGGGGUAACGAUGUCUUCGGACAGUCGACGACCGGCGCACGGGUGAGUAUUGUGUUUGUAAUUUAUUUUUAACUGGAGAAUAGCCCGAAGAAAUUCGGAUUAAUACUCCAUAACACUAUGAAUUGGUAUUUUUUUAUAGUUAAAGCUCCGGCGGUUAAAGAUGGGCAUGCGUAACAUUAGUUUGUUGGUGAGGUAACGGCUCACCAAGACUAUGAUGUUUAGGGGGUCUGAGAGGAUGGUUUUCCACACUGGUACUGAGAUAUGGAUUAGAUUUUUAUGGGAGGUAGCAGUGAGGAAUAUUGGUCAAUGGGCGCAAGCCUGAACCAGCCAUGCCGCGUGAAGGAUGACAGCGCUAUGCGUUGUAAACUUCUUUUGUACAGGAAGAAAUGUUUUUAUGUGUAGAAGUUUGAUGGUAUUGUACGAAUAAGCACCGGCUAACUCCGUGCCAGUAGUUGUGGUAAUACGGAGGGUGCAAGCGUUAUCCGGAUUUAUUGGGUUUAAAGGGUACGUAGGCGGAAAAUUAAGUCAGUAGUGAAAUUUUGUAGUUUAAUUGUAGAAUUGUUAUUGAUAUUGGUUUUCUUGAAUAUAGUUGAGGUAGGUGGAAUGUGUAAUGUAGUGGUGAAAUGUUUAGAUAUCACACAGAAUAUUGAUUGUGAAGGUAGCUUAUUAAGCUAUGAUUGACGCUGAGGUAUGAAAGCGUGGGGAGCGAACAGGAUUAGAUAUCCUGGUAGUUUAUGUUGUAAAUGAUGAUCACUCGUUGUUGGCAAUAUAUUGUCAGCGACUGAGUGAAAGCAUUAAGUGAUCCACCUGGGGAGUACGCUCGCAAGAGUGAAACUCAAAGGAAUUGACGGGGGCCCGCAUAAGCGGAGGAACAUGUGGUUUAAUUCGAUGAUACGCGAGGAAUUUUACCUGGGCUUAAAUGUAAAACGAUGGAUUGGGAAAUUGAUUUUUUUUAGGAUGUUUUGCAAGGUGCUGCAUGGCUGUCGUCAGCUCGUGUUGUGAGGUGUUGGGUUAAGUUUUAUAAUGAGCGCAACCCUCAUUAUUAGUUGUUAGUGAGUAAUGUUGGGGAUUUUAAUGAAAUUGUUGGUGUAAAUUGUGAGGAAGGUGGGGAUGACGUUAAGUCAGCAUGGCCCUUAUGUCCAGGGUUAUAUAUGUGUUAUAAUGGUCGGUAUAAAGGGUAGUUAUUUGGUGAUAGGAUGUUAAUUUUUAAAACCGAUCUCAGUUUGGAUCGAAGUCUGUAAUUUGACUUCGUGAAGCUGGAUUCGCUAGUAAUCGCGCAUCAGCCAUGGCGCGGUGAAUAUGUUUUUGGGUUUUGUAUAUACCGCCCGUCAAGCCAUGGAAGCUGGGGGUACCUGAAGUUUGUAAUUGUAAGGAGUGGUUUAGGGUAAAAUUAGUAAUUGGG